GAUGAAUGCUGGCGGCGUGCCUAAUACAUGCAAGUCGAGCGAACGGACGAGAAGCUUGCUUUUCUGAUGUUAGCGGCGGACGGGUGAGUAACACGUGGAUAACCUACCUAUAAGACUGGGAUAACUUCGGGAAACCGGAGCUAAUACCGGAUAAUAUUUUGAACCGCAUGGUUCAAAAGUGAAAGACGGUCUUGCUGUCACUUAUAGAUGGAUCCGUGCUGCAUUAGCUAGUUGGUAAGGUAACGGCUUACCAAGGCAACGAUGCAUAGCCGACCUGAGAGGGUGAUCGGCCACACUGGAACUGAGACACGGUCCAGACUCCUACGGGAGGCAGCAGUAGGGAAUCUUCCGCAAUGGGCGAAAGCCUGACGGAGCAACGCCGCGUGAGUGAUGAAGGUCUUCGGAUCGUAAAACUCUGUUAUUAGGGAAGAACAUAUGUGUAAGUAACUGUGCACAUCUUGACGGUACCUAAUCAGAAAGCCACGGCUAACUACGUG
RNAcentral lists this ribosomal RNA (497 nucleotides) under uncultured bacterium. RNAcentral's name for it is "partial 16S ribosomal RNA". It matches the Rfam family "Bacterial small subunit ribosomal RNA", at positions 28 to 507 of the family's 1533-position model. The record is from RNAcentral.